GGUCAAGUUACAAAGGGCUCACGGCGGAUACCUUGGCACACAGAGGCGAUGAAGGACGUGGUUACCUGCGAUAAGUCUCGGGGAGCUGGAAAUACGCUUUGAUCCGGGAAUUUCCGAAUGGGGCAACCCCUUGUACGGCCAGCUGAAUACAUAGGCUGGCGCGAGCCAACCCAGCGAACUGAAACAUCUUAGUAGCUGGAGGAAAGGAAAGUAAAAACGACUCCCUC
This 227-nucleotide ribosomal RNA is filed under the name uncultured Synechococcus sp. RNAcentral's name for it is "partial 23S ribosomal RNA". It matches the Rfam family "Bacterial large subunit ribosomal RNA", at positions 1 to 241 of the family's 2925-position model. The record is from RNAcentral. Lineage: Bacteria; Bacillati; Cyanobacteriota; Cyanophyceae; Synechococcales; Synechococcaceae.